This 624-nucleotide long non-coding RNA is filed under the name Canis lupus familiaris (dog). RNAcentral's name for it is "lncRNA (ENSCAFG00030026228.1)". Lineage: Eukaryota; Metazoa; Chordata; Mammalia; Carnivora; Canidae. The record is from RNAcentral.
AUGGCACCGAGGCUGCGGGGGCUGCGGGGCCGCGCGGCUCGCCGGGCUCCGGGGCUCCCGGCGGAGCAGGGGCGCAGCUCGGCGGCCGCGGCGCCUCCGGGGCUCGGACGCCGCCCCCGCGCUCGCCGCCGCCGCGCCCCCCUCGGCGCCCCGCGCCCCGCGCCCCGCCGGCCCCGCGCGCCAACUUCUGCCCCGCGAGCCCAACUUGUGCGCGGGGCGCGCCGCCGGGGUCCCCGGCCACUCGGGCUGCGCCGCCUGCGCGCUCCUGCCGCCGCCCGCAGCGCCCUGCAGCUCCGCUCGGCCGGUGAAGAAUGCCGAAUAGGUGUUGUCGAAAGGGCAGAGGAGAAGUCUAUGAGAGGAGUCGUAAGAAUUAAAGUGUGCCAGAUGGAAAGAUCCAGUACUACACCACCUACAGACAAGCGUACCACAUGGAGCAACAGCCCGUCUACAAGUGCUGCCCUGGUUGGAGCCAGUGGGACAAUGAACCUGGCUGCCUAUGCUGCGGUGGGAACAUGUUUCAAAGGAAGGAGGUGCUCAGACGGCGAGGCCCAGCAGAGCCAGUAUUCAGAGGGUUUUCAAGGCCCCCACUGUCAAUAUGAACUCCAUGAAGAGGUCUUGGGCUAA